CCUACGGGUGGCUGCAGUGGGGAAUAUUGGGCAAUGGUCGCAAGCCUGACCCAGCAACGUCGCGUGAAGGAAGAAGGCUCUCGGGGUGUUAACUUCUUUUUUGAGGGACGAAGAAUGCGACGGUACCUCAGGAAUAAGCCACCGCUAACUACGUGCCAGCAGCCGUUGUAAUACGGAGGGGGCAAGCGUUCUCCGGAUUUAUUGGGUGUAAAGGGCGUGUAGGCGGGAAAGUAAGUCAGAUGUGAAAACUCGGGGCUCAACCCUGAGCCUGCGUUUGAAACUGUUUUUCUUGAGUGCUGGGGAGGCAAUCGGAAUUCCGGGUGUAGCGGUGAAAUGCGUAGAUAUACGGAAGAACACCAGUGGCGAAGGCAGAUUGCUGGACAGUAACUGACGCUGAGGCGCGAAGGCGUGGGUAGCAAACAGGAUUAGAUACCCCAGUAGUC
RNAcentral lists this ribosomal RNA (443 nucleotides) under uncultured bacterium. Its description in RNAcentral is "partial 16S ribosomal RNA". It matches the Rfam family "Bacterial small subunit ribosomal RNA", at positions 338 to 795 of the family's 1533-position model. The record is from RNAcentral.